CAGCAGCCGCGGUAAUACGUAUGUCACAAGCGUUAUCCGGAUUUAUUGGGCGUAAAGCGCGUCUAGGUGGUUAUGUAAGUCUGAUGUGAAAAUGCAGGGCUCAACUCUGUAUUGCGUUGGAAACUGUGUAACUAGAGUACUGGAGAGGUAAGCGGAACUACAAGUGUAGAGGUGAAAUUCGUAGAUAUUUGUAGGAAUGCCGAUGGGGAAGCCAGCUUACUGGACAGAUACUGACGCUAAAGCGCGAAAGCGUGGGUAGCAAACAGGAUUAGAUACCCCUGUAGUCCCUGUCUCUUAUACC
Molecule: ribosomal RNA, 301 nt
Filed under: uncultured bacterium
Lineage: Bacteria
Description: partial 16S ribosomal RNA
Rfam family: Bacterial small subunit ribosomal RNA
Source: RNAcentral